This 433-nucleotide ribosomal RNA is filed under the name uncultured bacterium. RNAcentral describes it as "partial 16S ribosomal RNA". It matches the Rfam family "Bacterial small subunit ribosomal RNA", at positions 29 to 507 of the family's 1533-position model. The record is from RNAcentral.
AACGAACGCUGGCGGCAUGCCUAACACAUGCAAGUCGAACGAGACCUUCGGGUCUAGUGGCGCACGGGUGCGUAACGCGUGGGAACCUGCCUUUAGGUUCGGAAUAACUCAGAGAAAUUUGAGCUAAUACCGGAUGAUGUCUUCGGACCAAAGAUUUAUCGCGUUUAGAUGGGCCCGCGUUGGCUUAGCUAGUUGGUGGGGUAAAGGCCUACCAAGGCGACGAUCCAUAGCUGGUCUGAGAGGAUGAUCAGCCACACUGGGACUGAGACACGGCCCAGACUCCUACGGGAGGCAGCAGUGGGGAAUAUUGGACAACGGGGGAAAGCCUGAUCCAGCAAUGCCGCGUGAGUGAUGAAGGCCUUAGGGUUGUAAAGCUCUUUUACCCGAGAUGAUAAUGACAGUAUCGGGAGAAUAAGCUCCGGCUAACUCCGUG